GACUACUAGGGUAUCUAAUCCUGUUUGCUACCCACGCUUUCGUACCUCAGCGUCAGUUUGAGUCCAGAGAGGCGCCUUCGCCACUGGUGUUCCUUCAGAUCUCUACGCAUUUCACCGCUACACCUGAAAUUCCCCUCUCCUCUACUCAACUCUAGUUACCCAGUAUCAAAUGCAGUUCCCAGGUUAAGCCCGGGGCUUUCACAUCUGACUUAAAUAACCGCCUACGCACGCUUUACGCCCAGUAAUUCCGAUUAACGCUUGCACCCUCCGUAUUACCGCGGCUGCUGGCACGGAGUUAGCCGGUGCUUUUUCUAUCGGUAAUGUCAUACUGCCAGGUAUUAGCUGACAGGUGUUCCUCCCGAUUAAAAGUGCUUUACAACCCUCAGGCCUUCUUCACACACGCGGUAUUGCUGGAUCAGGCUUUCGCCCAUUGUCCAAUAUUCCCCACUGCAGCCCCCCGUAGG
This 464-nucleotide ribosomal RNA is filed under the name uncultured Methylosarcina sp. RNAcentral describes it as "partial 16S ribosomal RNA". Lineage: Bacteria; Pseudomonadati; Pseudomonadota; Gammaproteobacteria; Methylococcales; Methylococcaceae. The record is from RNAcentral.